Molecule: long non-coding RNA, 338 nt
Filed under: Capsella rubella
Lineage: Eukaryota; Viridiplantae; Streptophyta; Magnoliopsida; Brassicales; Brassicaceae
Description: long non-coding RNA (CRUB_LNC004321)
Source: RNAcentral
GGGUCGAUAAGCAAGUUAAAAAUCAGCUACAAGCGAUUCGAAGAUUGGGUGAUAGAAGAUACAAUGACGGGUUUCAAAGAUGGCUUCAAGCACAUUCAUAAUCAUUUGAUCAUUUGAUUUCGUUGUUUUUUUAAGUUUUAAGCCUUGUAUUUUUUUUUUUUUCAAAAGAACGUUGCACUUGUUGUAAAAUUGUAAAUUUUUCUUUUUUAAUAUAAUUUAACAUUAAAUUUAGAAGAAAAAAAACCUGCAAAAUUCAACAAAUAUAUAUAUAAAGAAAGAAGAUAAUAUGAAGGUUACCUUUAAGGCAACUUGAUCGAGAUACGACUAAUAGAUGCAAC